RNAcentral lists this long non-coding RNA (442 nucleotides) under Linum usitatissimum (flax). RNAcentral describes it as "long non-coding RNA (LUSI_LNC001600)". Lineage: Eukaryota; Viridiplantae; Streptophyta; Magnoliopsida; Malpighiales; Linaceae. The record is from RNAcentral.
GAGAAACAGCUGGGUGAAAUACAAGCCUUAAGUUUGAUGAAGUAUGGAAGUAUAAAUUAGCAACUUUCACCAAGGCAAGCAAGUAGAAGAUGAUAAACAAUUCCCCUUCAUAAACAAUUCCCUUCCAGGAAUGUCUUAUUUCUGUGAUCCUUUUCAUAGCGGAAACCCAAUAUCCAAACUGUAAACAAGUUUAGAAUAUGUAUUGUAAUGAUAGCUUACUAAGUUCAGGAGCAAAUUGCUCAAAAAAUCAGUCUUGAUGUCAGCUUUCAGCAGCUGAGGAAUAUGAUUCUCAAAAACCCUGAAUAGGCAAGAGAAUUAAACAUCACUUGAUUGGCACUUGCAUUAGCAAAAGUAGAAAACUGCCAGUAGUCUCUUUUAACAUUCAAUAGGAAGGAAUAUGUUAAUAGUAGUGGGAAGAGAGUACAAACCAUGAGUUACCAGC